RNAcentral lists this ribosomal RNA (627 nucleotides) under Triticum aestivum (bread wheat). Its description in RNAcentral is "partial small subunit ribosomal RNA". The record is from RNAcentral. Lineage: Eukaryota; Viridiplantae; Streptophyta; Magnoliopsida; Poales; Poaceae.
AUGAACAAAUUACAGAACCCUGUACUUGUUCUCACCAGCAGCAGCACGAGUAGGGGACCUCAAGCGGCAGCACACGAGAAGGGGAUCUCCGGGCGGCAGCACGAGCAGGGGAGGAGCAGCAAGUUGCGGAGAAGCAGCAGAAGGGGCUCCAGCUUGAGGUCCAGGAUCGCAAAAGAGCUUGAGGGAGCUCGUGGUCCAGGCGCGGCGGGAGCUCGUGGUCCAGGCGCUCGAGACCCAGGCGCGCGCGGGUCCUGGCCGGCGGCGGCGCAGGCCCUGCGAGGAAGGAGGGGAUAUCGUCGACGCAGGUCCUGGGCGGCGGAGGAGCACGUCUUGUGCGGUGACGGAGCAAGCAGGGCGGCGCAGGUCCUUGGCGACGGAGGAGCAGGCAGGGCGGCGCGGGUCCUGGGCCGCGGAGGAGCACGUCCUGUGCGGCAACGGAGAAAGCAGGGCGGCGCGGGUCCUGGGUCGCGGAGGAGCACGUCCAGUGCGGCGGCGGAGCAAGCAAUUGGGCGGCGCAGGUCUUGGGCUGACGACUGGCCUGGCGACGCGCGCCGGCGAUGGGCGGAGGAAGAAGGAAGAAGACGCGACCUGUAUGGUGACCUGUUUGUAACAAAUUUGAAGUUAUAA